RNAcentral lists this ribosomal RNA (460 nucleotides) under uncultured bacterium. Its description in RNAcentral is "partial 16S ribosomal RNA". It matches the Rfam family "Bacterial small subunit ribosomal RNA", at positions 338 to 795 of the family's 1533-position model. The record is from RNAcentral.
CCUACGGGGUGCAGCAGUGAGGAAUAUUGGUCAAUGGACGGAAGUCUGAACCAGCCAAGCCGCGUGCAGGAAGACUGCUCUAUGAGUUGUAAACUGCUUUUGUAUGAGGGUAAACUGGUCCACGUGUAGUAUGCUGUAAGUACUAUAUGAAUAAGGAUCGGCUAACUCCGUGCCAGCAGCCGCGGUAAUACGGAGGAUCCGAGCGUUAUCCGGAUUUAUUGGGUUUAAAGGGAGCGUAGGUGGAUUGUUAAGUCAGUGGUGAAAGGUUGAGGCUCAACCGUGAAACUGCAGUUGAGACUGGCAGUCUUGAGUACAGUAGCGGUAGGCGGAAUGUGUGGUGUAGCGGUGAAAUGCUUAGAGAUCAUGCAGAACUCCGAUUGCGAAGGCAGCUUACUGGACUGUAACUGACACUGAGGCUCGAAAGCGUGGGUAGCAAACAGGAUUAGAUACCCCAGUAGUC